This is a long non-coding RNA of Homo sapiens (human), 242 nucleotides long. RefSeq lists it as uncharacterized. NCBI's taxonomy places the organism in Eukaryota, Metazoa, Chordata, Mammalia, Primates, Hominidae. The transcript has 2 exons. The record is from RefSeq and is a predicted model, not a curated record.
CUCCUGCCUCAGCUCCCGAGUAGCUGGGAUUUCAGGCCUCCCAAAGUGCUGGGAUUACAGGCGAGAGCCACCGCGCCCUGCCAAGAAUCAGUCUUUUAAGACAAGUACAGUUUGGACCUCCUUAUGCCUGGGUUCCGCAUCUAUGGAUUCAACCAAACGCGGACAAAAAAUAUUAGGAAAGAGCAAUGAAAAUAACUAUACAACAAUAAAAUAAUACAAAUAAAAAUUCAAUAGAACAACCA